This 295-nucleotide long non-coding RNA is filed under the name Vulpes vulpes (red fox). Its description in RNAcentral is "lncRNA (ENSVVUG00000009240.1)". The record is from RNAcentral. Lineage: Eukaryota; Metazoa; Chordata; Mammalia; Carnivora; Canidae.
GAGGGUUUGGGGUUUCAGGAUUGAGGCGAGAGUCCGACCUGGUGGAAGCACAGAAGACCCAAUAGGGCAAGUGGCCCCAAAGCCGUGCCGUGGUACACAAAGAGCCAGACGAGGGCUACACCAAGGGGCAUGAGCAAAGGAGUCCAACGCCAGGAAGCAGGGCCGACAGAGACCCGCGUCCAGAUGCUAGCUGCAAAGGGCAAUUUGGCAGGAUCCGGGGCCUGAAACGGCAGGCUGAGGGGAAGUACCCCCAGCACAACUGGAGCACCCGGAUCCUCUGCCCGGGACGGUCCAC